RNAcentral lists this ribosomal RNA (460 nucleotides) under uncultured bacterium. RNAcentral's name for it is "partial 16S ribosomal RNA". It matches the Rfam family "Bacterial small subunit ribosomal RNA", at positions 338 to 795 of the family's 1533-position model. The record is from RNAcentral.
CCUACGGGCGGCAUCAGUGAGGAAUAUUGGUCAAUGGACGAGAGUCUGAACCAGCCAAGUAGCGUGAAGGAUGACUGCCCUAUGGGUUGUAAACUUCUUUUAUAUGGGAAUAAAACGUUCCACGUGUGGGAUUUUGUAUGUACCAUAUGAAUAAGGAUCGGCUAACUCCGUGCCAGCAGCCGCGGUAAUACGGAGGAUCCGAGCGUUAUCCGGAUUUAUUGGGUUUAAAGGGAGCGUAGGUGGAUUGUUAAGUCAGUUGUGAAAGUUUGCGGCUCAACCGUAAAAUUGCAGUUGAAACUGGCAGUCUUGAGUACAGUAGAGGUGGGCGGAAUUCGUGGUGUAGCGGUGAAAUGCUUAGAUAUCACGAAGAACUCCGAUUGCGAAGGCAGUUCACUGGACUGCAACUGACACUGAGGCUCGAAAGUGUGGGUAUCAAACAGGAUUAGAUACCCGAGUAGUC